Phascolarctos cinereus (koala) is the source of this 1460-nucleotide RNA transcript. It is a transcript of the gene named high mobility group nucleosomal binding domain 2, with no coding region annotated. The record is from RefSeq and is a predicted model, not a curated record. Lineage: Eukaryota; Metazoa; Chordata; Mammalia; Diprotodontia; Phascolarctidae.
GGUGAAAUCCGGUUCUAACCGGUCCGGGGCUCCCAGCGCUAUAAAAACUUUAUAAACCCCCCCCCCCCCGGAGCCCAAGCAGUGUGAGGAAGAGGAGACGGAAGCGACCCCCGGACCGGCCGCUGCUGCAACCCGCACCCAGACUCCGCUGCUGUCGCUGCUCCCGCCCCUCCACCGUCACCACCAUGCCCAAGAGAAAGGCUGAAGGAGAUGCUAAGGGAGACAAGACCAAGGUUAAGGACGAACCACAGAGGAGAUCAGCACGGUUAUCUGCUAAACCUGCUCCUCCAAAGCCAGAACCCAAACCCAAAAAGGCACCUGCAAAGAAGGGAGAGAAGUUACCCAAAGGGAAAAAGGGAAAGGCUGACUCCGGUAAGGAUGGGAACAAUCCUGCAGAGAAUGGAGAUGCCAAAACAGACCAGGAAUUCACUGAACUGACGUUUUAAGUUGCAAUAAGAAAUUUGCUCCUUCACUGCCAUGUGUUGCCAGCUGUCCCAAAGACUGCUGAGAAUAUUGCAUGCACCUCGUAGAUUUUUGCCCUCCACUCCAGAAGCAUCACUCAUAAAAUGGCACAGAAAGCUGAAGGUGCUGGAGAUGCCAAGUGAAUUGUGUGAAUUUUUGAUAACUGUGUACUUCUGGUGACUGUACAGUUUGAAAUACUAUUUUUUAUCAAGUUUUAUAAAAAUGCAGAAUUUUGUUUUACUUUUUUUUAAGCUAUGUUGUUAGCACACAGAACGCUUUGUUGUUGUUUUGGGGGAAUGGGGCAGAUGUUACAGAUAGAAUAUCUCAGAAGCUGGGUUGAAAUGGGUGGGGAUUUCUUCUCCUCCUUGUUUUUGAGAGGACUUCUCUUGAAUACCAAGAGAAGGCUCACACACACACACACCAGAUACAUAGAUACAAACACUGAGACCCUCAGCCUGUCUGGUGGGGGUAGGAGUGGAUAACUUCAAAAAUUUGUACUUCUUCCCUGUCUGCCAUAAGCAUCAACUUGACUCCUCCAAACCCAGGGGCCUAUCAGGACCUGCCCCUGUUUCCCUCCUUCCCCCCACCCCCAAAUCAAUUGUGUUGGAUACCAGUCUUUCAGGUGAUCUGGACUUGAAUUAUGGCCCUGCUGAGGCCUCCCCAAAAGAGCCUAAGUUCCUUUCAUAUUGGGGGUCUUUUCCAAUUAAGAAUUCUACAGUUUUCAUUUCAUUUUCUCAAAGUCAGGGUAGGCUCGUGAAAAGUUGUUAAACAACAUAUGCUCAAUGUGAAAGUGUCCACCCUCACUCUAAACUUUCCCUGUUUAAAGUAUAAAAUAAAGACUCUUCAUUGGGUUUUAUAGUGACUUUAUGUUUUUGGUAGUCCAUGGAGGAGGGGAGUUGGAAAGUUGUCGUUGCCGAUCGUAGCCCAUGUCCUGCCUGAAUUACCAUGAUUGUUUAUGAAAAGUAUCUUUAAUAAAGCUGGAUACAGUUUGGCUUGGA